AGAGUUUGAUCAUGGCUCAGGAUGAACGCUAGCGGCAGGCCUAAUACAUGCAAGUCGAGGGGUAACAGGAGUAGCAAUACUUGCUGACGACCGGCGCACGGGUGCGUAACACGUAUAUAAUCUGCCUUUAACAGGGGGAUAGCCCGGAGAAAUCCGGAUUAAUACCCCAUAAUAGUUUGACUGGCAUCAGUUGAAUUUGAAAGCUCCGGCGGUUAAAGAUGAGUAUGCGUCUGAUUAGCUAGUUGGUGAGGUAACGGCUCACCAAGGCGACGAUCAGUAGGGGAUCUGAGAGGACUACCCCCCACACGGAUACUGAGACACGGAUCCGACUCCUACGGGAGGCAGCAGUAAGGAAUAUUGGACAAUGCCCGCAAGGGUGAUCCAGCCAUGCCGCGUGCAGGAAGACGGCCCUAUGGGUUGUAAACUGCUUUUACACCGGAGAAAACCUUCCCUCGUGAGGGGAGCUGAUAGUAUGGUGAGAAUAAGCAUCGGCUAACUUCGUGCCAGCAGCCGCGGUAAGACGAAGGAUGCAAGCGUUAUCCGGAUUCAUUGGGUUUAAAGGGAGCGUAGGUGGCCUUAUAAGUCAGUGGUGAAAUCUCUGGGCUUAACCCAGAAAUUGCCAUUGAUACUGUAGGGCUUGAGUACAGUUGCCGUUGGCGGAAUAUGACAUGUAGUGGUGAAAUACAUAGAGAUGUCAUAGAACACCGAUUGCGAAGGCAGCUAACGAAACUGUAACUGACACUGAGGCUCGAAAGUGCGGGGAUCAAACAGGAUUAGAUACCCUGGUAGUCCGCACUGUAAACGAUGAUUACUCGCUGCUAGAGGGCAACUUUUAGUGGCUUAGCGAAAGCGAUAAGUAAUCCACCUGGGGAGUACGCCCGGCAACGGUGAAACUCAAGGAAUUGACGGGGGCCCGCACAAGCGGAGGAGCAUGUGGUUUAAUUCGAUGAUACGCGAGGAACCUUACCA
This 969-nucleotide ribosomal RNA is filed under the name uncultured bacterium. RNAcentral's name for it is "bacterial SSU rRNA". It matches the Rfam family "Bacterial small subunit ribosomal RNA", at positions 8 to 976 of the family's 1533-position model. The record is from RNAcentral.